RNAcentral lists this ribosomal RNA (500 nucleotides) under uncultured bacterium. Its description in RNAcentral is "partial 16S ribosomal RNA". It matches the Rfam family "Bacterial small subunit ribosomal RNA", at positions 30 to 523 of the family's 1533-position model. The record is from RNAcentral.
AUUGAACGCUGGCGGCAGGCUUAACACAUGCAAGUCGAGCGGAGAGGGGUAGCUUGCUACUGAUCUUAGCGGCGGACGGGUGAGUAAUGCUUAGGAAUCUGCCUAUUAGUGGGGGACAACAUUUCGAAAGGAAUGCUAAUACCGCAUACGUCCUACGGGAGAAAGCAGGGGAUCUUCGGACCUUGCGCUAAUAGAUGAGCCUAAGUCGGAUUAGCUAGUUGGUGGGGUAAAGGCCUACCAAGGCGACGAUCUGUAGCGGGUCUGAGAGGAUGAUCCGCCACACUGCGACUGAGACACGGCCCAGACUCCUACGGGAGGCAGCAGUGGGGAAUAUUGGACAACGGGCGCAAGCCUGAUCCAGCCAUGCCGCGUGUGUGAAGAAGGCCUUAUGGUUGUAAAGCACUUUAAGCGAGGAGGAGGCUACUUAGAUAAUACCUAGAGAUAGUGGACGUUACUCGCAGAAUAAGCACCGGCUAACUCUGUGCCAGCCGCCGCAGUAA